This 297-nucleotide ribosomal RNA is filed under the name uncultured bacterium. RNAcentral describes it as "partial 16S ribosomal RNA". It matches the Rfam family "Bacterial small subunit ribosomal RNA", at positions 789 to 1084 of the family's 1533-position model. The record is from RNAcentral.
GGUAGUCCACGCCGUAAACUAUGGAUGCUAGUUGUUGGCCGUAUCGACCCGGUCAGUAACGAGGCUAACGCGUUAAGCAUCCCGCCUGGGGAGUACGGUCGCAAGAUUAAAACUCAAAGGAAUUGACGGGGACCCGCACAAGCGGUGGAGCGUGUUGUUUAAUUCGAGGCUAAGCGAAGAACCUUACCAGGGUUUGACAUCCUUGGAAUUUCUGUGAAAGCAGAGAGUGCCUUCGGGAACCAAGUGACAGGUGUUGCAUGGCCGUCGUCAGCUCGUGUCGUGAGAUGUUUGGUUAAG